GACUAUGGCUUUAUGGGUUGCCUGUAUGGUUGUGGUGAUGUGUAAUGUAUGCUGACUGUAUAAUAUUGUUUUGCCUGCAUUGGCUAUCUGCCGAAAGCAGAUAGCUGGAUUUCCUUUCGUUUCACGGUCAGCGCCUUUACGGGCUGUUCGUGAACCGAAUAGACCAACAUGUAAUAGCCCACACAUUGAGAGACGUGUGGCGCUUGUUAACCGAUUGCAAUAAUGUUGCAAUCGGUAAUUAGAGGCUCUCCUAGGUGGCCAUCUUGGUGGCGGUCGGCCAUCUUGGAUCCUUUUG
Pelobates cultripes (western spadefoot toad) is the source of this 295-nucleotide non-coding RNA. The record is from the annotation of a GenBank genome assembly. NCBI's taxonomy places the organism in Eukaryota, Metazoa, Chordata, Amphibia, Anura, Pelobatidae.